Molecule: RNA transcript, 3583 nt
Organism: Vespula vulgaris
Lineage: Eukaryota; Metazoa; Arthropoda; Insecta; Hymenoptera; Vespidae
Exons: 3
Source: RefSeq, a predicted model, not a curated record
UGCAUCCAGAUAGGUUCUUCAUUCGGAUGUGCGACAGUCCUUCAUACGGAUCGUCGGUCACAGUAGACUUUUUGCUCUAUUGAGAGAACAUUCCUUCGUAGAAAAGAAAAUUUCAUCGCGAAAUCUUUUUUGAUUUUAUCUUCUUCUAUCCUCUGAAGAAUUCAACGCAGUCUAGAUAGCAAAAUGACUAUCAAUAAUAACGUUACCAUUGUUAUUGAAUAUCGAAUUAAUGUUAAUUACGAUACCAAUUUGAAAAUGGUAUAUAUCGUAAGAGUACAUAUUUCAAUGCCACGAGUGAAAUUGAGGGCGAUAAAGAAGAUCGAUCUGCGAUUAACAUUUACACCCAAUAAGAAGUUUUUCGAAUCAAUGUUGAAUAAGAAGAUGAAGAAGAAGAAGAAGAAGAGGAUACAAGAGACAAGGAAGUCGAAGAGAUAUACUGGAGGAAACGAAGGGGAAAGCAGUUCUGAUAAUCUGAAAGUAGUACAAAAUUUUCAAAUUAACUAAUAUUUGAAUCUCAAUUUUAAAGAUGUACGAAAUUCAAUGGUACUCAUCGUGGUAAUUAAGUAUACUAUAUCCGAAAUAAAAUAUAUUAUAUUAACACUUCCUGUUCUUCGUACAUCCAACAAUAUAUUCUAUAUGGAUACUACAUGGAUAAAUGUCUAAUUAUCAACCAACUUAGGAUAUGAAAACAUUUACCUUUUUAAUCUUAUAUCUAAAUGGUAAAUCAUUCAAUGCUGUGUUUAUGGAAUGGGAAUUGCAUUGUGACAGCAAAAGAGUGGUUCAAGAAGCAGCUGAUAAAUCUAAGGAAACGAAAGGACAUUGUUAGCUAUUGUUCAUACAUUAAAUGCUCUUAAAUCUUUUGAUGUUGUUGUAUGCAUUAUCUGACUGGAAAUAUCUCGGAAGAGGAAAAAAAAGAAAAAUCAUUUGUGCUUGAUGACAAAGUUUCAAAAGAGCAAUAUGACGCAGUUUUAUAAAGCUUGGAACAAUGAUACGAGGAAAUGAAAGGGAUUUACCUGUUUCAAAGCAUCCAACCGUGAGCUGCUUCAACUGGGGCGUAUAUGCGAUUGUGCUGAAAAAGAUUUGUCGAAGGGGCAUGCGGGGCAAAGAUCAAAGGGGAAUUGGAAUGAAAGUGAGACGGGUAUGUCAUAUAAAAUAAUUUAAUAUAGAGGAAAUUAAAUUAUGCAUUAAAUAAUAUGUCCACGCUCACGUCAUCGGUAUUUUAUCGACUUAAAUUAAAGAACCAUUCGAUAUAAUUAAGAAUGGAAAAAUUUUGAAUUCUGUUUUUUAAAUUAUUUGUCAUAAUAUUCAUGACAUGUACUUAAAAAAUAUUUGCAAUUAGCGCUUUUCAUAAAUAUUGAAAUUUGGACGAAAUAAUUUGGUAACUAACGCGAAUUACCCUGCUAAUACGUUUUGACAGAGAUUUAAUUACAGUGGAUGUCCGUAAUACGUUCUUCUAUAGUUAUCGUCAAGUACCUUUGUUUCGAACCUUUUGUUAAUAUCUCCCUCCAUCUCUGAGUGUGCUCUUGUAUGCGCUCACGUGCACCAGAAUGUGAACAGACACGUGAUGUAUCAUUUUGAAAAUAAGAAUGGAACGUUUUCAUUUAUUUUCCCCUCAUCAAAGCGAGUAAACAAUUGGAUAAUAGGAUAAGCAAUAUAAUUCAAUAACCUAUUUAAUUGUAUCAUUUAAUUAGCCGGUUAGGUCUUUUGCGAAACAAUAGACUACGUUACCGAUUCAAUUCUUUCAUAGGAACGAAUAGGUUUUCCUACAAAUGUAUUCCUAAUCAAAGAAUUUAAAAAUUCAAUUCAAUUAUAUAAUAUAUAUAAUAUUGCAUAUAUAAUAUUGCAUAAUAUUAUACAACAUCGCGUGUAUCACAUUCUAAACUAGUUAGGUCGUAUGAUAGUAUUAUAUUUCUGCAAUCGUUUAUUUCUUAUUAUAUAUAACCAAGCAUGUAGUAGUUAUUUUAUUAUAUUUUUAGUAAAAUAAUAUUUGUAUUUUCCGAAUGCAUUAUGCGUAUGAUUUAAUUUUUCAAUAUGCAUAUAAUACAAUACACCAUUUAACAUAGCAAGAAUCUAUUAGACUUUAUAUUAUAUACAUAUUUGUACUAUUACUAUAUAUUAAAAUUUAAUUAUUCAUUUAUCGUUAUUUGACUAACCGAUUGACGUGGCUGUAACCAUAAGUUAUAAAUGUUGUAGGAAGAUAGUCUUUCCGUAAAAUAAUUUUUCCUUCUAAAUAGAAUCUUUUGAAUACUACUUUCUUGAUGUCAAUGUUCUCUUCGAAAGAAAUAAAUAAAUAUGAAUAAAUAAACACCAAUGAAAGAAAGAAGCAAACAAAUAUGUAUUGAGAACUCAACUAAGAAAUGAAAUUUUAUUCUUAUUUGACUUUUUUCCAUGAUUAAUAAAUUUUUGAGAGAAUUUCUGAAAAAUUAGGAGAACAGUAAAUAUAGAUCAACAAUUGGGUUUACAUCUACUGCACGCAUAAAGAAAUAUGAAAGUGUAACUAUUUGAUACACUUUCUGAAUAUAUAUUCGUUUGCUUUUUUUUUUAAGACUAUUUUGUAACGACUAUUUUUCCUUUAAUUUCAAUUACUUCUUAGAUUUUAAUUUAUGCUUUAUUUUUCUUUUUAACCCCUUAUACUCAAAUGUCCUCUCAGAGAGUUCAUCAUAAAAAUAAGGAAAUCUCAUAGAUAAUGAUAACAAUAAAAAUAGUGUACAAAAAUUGCUACAAAACUUGUCAAAAAUAUCGUAAAAAAUUAUAUGGAAUAGAAUUUCGAUUCUAUUUCGAAAAUUUGGUUCGAUUCUAUGGAAAGAAGUAUGUUACACUAUAUACCACGUUUGCGCGACUUAGUGCCGCCGUGUUGUUAUUAGCUAACGUCCGAGAGGACGCCAAGUACAAAGAAUAAAUACGGAAGAAUAUCAAAAUAGAAAUCAUUCCAUGCUUUUUAUCUCUCUACCUAAAGAACGAAGAAUUUGUAUCAUUUUUCUUGGUAAUUUGAUAAACUGAAUAUUAUUUUUAUAAUAAUCUUUAUAGCACUUCAACUUGAUGACUUUUUAGAAAUAAUAUAUAAUCGAUAGAUAAAAUAUUUCCAUGAUAGUAAUACUUAAACGAUAGUAUACUCGCUUAAACAUUAAGCGAGAAAAUUGAAGUCCAAUGAAACAUAACGUAGUUUUAAACGAAAAUUUCAAUAAUUUAUAAUAUGGAUCUCGAAGUGGUUGCAUCUGAGUUGCAUCGCUGCUUGUAAUGUCAACAAAAGGAGCUUUUGAAUGACUUUGACAUUUCUCUCUUUCUAAAUGUGCAAACUUCAAAUUUAAUACUUGUGAUAUUAGGUACCUCUUUCGCCAACUUGGAUUUCAUAUCAUUUAGAAGAUUUGUAAUGAAUUCACUUAUGAAUAGAAAUACCUUCGUCGACUUCAUAAAAUCUGUUUAAAACUUCAGUAAAUUAUUAUAAAAUAUACCUAUGGCAGAGAAUUUAUAUUCCACCGUACAUUUUAGAACAAAAAAUUUCUACCUUAUCUCUCAAAUAUCUUACCAUUCGGUAAACACCACAUUGAUUGAUUUUCCAUUUAAAUAUAAGAGUAAAAAGGAA